Molecule: non-coding RNA, 73 nt
Organism: Phrynosoma platyrhinos (Desert horned lizard)
Lineage: Eukaryota; Metazoa; Chordata; Lepidosauria; Squamata; Phrynosomatidae
Source: the annotation of a GenBank genome assembly
GCCAAUGUGGCAUAGUGGUUUGAGUGUUGGACUAUGACUCUAGAGACUCUGGGUUGGAUUCCUUGCUCAGCCA